RNAcentral lists this long non-coding RNA (1065 nucleotides) under Varroa destructor (honeybee mite). RNAcentral's name for it is "uncharacterized LOC111243396, transcript variant X1". Lineage: Eukaryota; Metazoa; Arthropoda; Arachnida; Mesostigmata; Varroidae. The record is from RNAcentral.
UGAUCAUUUUCUAGAAAUAACGUUGCAACGACCAAAUUUUACAAAAUUGCUCAAGUCCGAUAUCUUAAAUUUUCCACGUCCAGUGCCUGAUUGCAGCAUAGGCAAACAUGUACAAGUUCAUUAUUAGCAGCUGUUACAGCGACCACAGCCGAGCGAGUCGUAUCGAAGUGCUGCCUUCUUCACGUUCGGCUUCAAUAAAUUCAACAUGGACGGGCUAGUACUGAUGACCUGCAAAUGCACCUCUUGCCUAGUUGAUACGUAGUCGUCAACAUGAAUUUGUCGGUCAUAAAGGAACAGUGGGAAAAUGCCAGGUGCCGUUGACAGUGGAGAGUUGCGAAUAUAAGUGAAAAGGUUUGACAUAUAAAACGACAGUGUCGUAAUCUCCGUCUCUGGGACAUAAAGAAAUCGGACUUAUUCCGAAGGACGCGAGCUGAAACAGUGCACGAAACGGCUGAUGGACAUGUUACAUGGGUUUACUCGUAUCGACUGAGUGCUACCAGCCGUUCCUCUCGUACCUCUGCAUUCAGACCGUAUUGAACAUUUUUCUAGACGUUGGAUGUCUGGAGAACCUUGGCGUAAGAUCAGAUCUGCUUCUCGUAUAAAGAAAAGGUUAGUUCGAUACAAGACAAGAUAGGCUUUCUUUAACGUAAGCGCAUAACCUGAAGGUCCUCUCCUUUUAUUGGCACCGUUAAUUUCUGCGCUGGUAGACGUAUGAUCAAACAGCAGCAGCUGCGGUAUCCCUUUCGAACCACGAACGCUUGUUGUUGCAUAAGCCACAGACCUUCCUAAAGAUUCGUCCAAGCCCACCAUCCCAUAGAGCGGACAAGAAAGCACAGAAAAACUUGAUCGCAGGCAGAAUCCACAACCCCUUGGCAUCAUCAACGAGAGGCUGAUUUUGUACCGGUGAGCAAUGAUAAAAAUCGUGAAGUCGUCCUUCGCCGCGAACAGAGCUAUAUAUAUAUAUACUGUAAUAAGGAAAAACGAGUCAUAGCUAUAGUGACUGGCAUAAUGGCUCUCACAUAUGUACAUACAAAUGUAGAUUACAGUGAGAUUAACGAAAGCAUA